UACGUAGGGGGCAAGCGUUGUCCGGAUUUACUGGGCGUAAAGAGCGUGUAGGCGGCUACGCAGGUCCGUUGUGAAAACUGGAGGCUCAACCUCCAGCUGUCGACGGAAACCGUGUGGCUAGAGUCCGGAAGAGGAGAGUGGAAUUCCUGGUGUAGCGGUGAAAUGCGUUGAGAUCGGAAGGAACGCCCGUGGCGAAAGCGAGGUCCUGGACGGCUACUGACGCUGAGACGCGAAAGCCAGGGGAGCGAACGGG
Molecule: ribosomal RNA, 253 nt
Filed under: uncultured bacterium
Lineage: Bacteria
Description: partial 16S ribosomal RNA
Rfam family: Bacterial small subunit ribosomal RNA
Source: RNAcentral